UCUUCCUGCUUCCUAUAUAAGGAAAAAAUGUUUCCCUCUCACUCAUUCUUCACGAUCACACCUGUGAACAAUGGACAUUGCUGCUCCUUCAGAAAAGUUUGCUUCCACAUCUUCACGAUAUCAUAGGGACUAUAUCGAGCUGGAAUCGCUUGGUGAGGGUGGUUUCGCACAUGUUUUUAAAUGCACAAAUCUUGUGGACGAUCAAAUGUAUGCCGUGAAGAAGAUAUUUUUCAAUUAUGAUAUUGGAAACAAGUUGAGG
This is a long non-coding RNA of Tripterygium wilfordii, 259 nucleotides long. RefSeq lists it as uncharacterized. The transcript has 4 exons. The record is from RefSeq and is a predicted model, not a curated record. Lineage: Eukaryota; Viridiplantae; Streptophyta; Magnoliopsida; Celastrales; Celastraceae.